Molecule: ribosomal RNA, 492 nt
Filed under: uncultured bacterium
Lineage: Bacteria
Description: partial 16S ribosomal RNA
Rfam family: Bacterial small subunit ribosomal RNA
Source: RNAcentral
AGUGAACGCUGGCGGUAGGCCUAACACAUGCAAGUCGAACGGCAGCACAGUACGAGCUUGCGCUUACGGGUGGCGAGUGGCGGACGGGUGAGGUAUACAUCGUAAUCUACUCUUUCGUGUGAGUUAACGUAGGUAGACUUACUCUAAUACCGCAUACGACCUACGGGUGAAAGCAGUGGAUCUUCGGACCUUUCGCGGUUGGAUUCGCCGAUGUCGGAUUAGCUAGUUGGCUGGUUAAAUGCCCACCAAGGCGACGAUCCGUAGCUGGUGUGAGAGGAUGGUAAGCGACCCUGGAGGUGAGACACGGUCAAGAGUCCUGAGGGAGGCCGCAGUGGGGAAUAUUAGGCAAUGGGGGCAAGCCUGGUACAGCCGUACGGAGUCGGUGAAGGAGGCCUUCGGGUUGUAAAGACCUUUUGUUGGGAAAGAAAAGCAGCAGGUUAAUACGAAGCUGUUCUGACGGUACCCAAAGAAGAAGCACCGGCUAACUUCGUG